Molecule: ribosomal RNA, 492 nt
Filed under: uncultured bacterium
Lineage: Bacteria
Description: partial 16S ribosomal RNA
Rfam family: Bacterial small subunit ribosomal RNA
Source: RNAcentral
AGUGAACGCUGGCGGUAGGCCUAACACAUGCAAGUCGAACGGCAGCACAGUAAGAGCUUGCUCUUACGGGUGGCGAGUGGCGGACGGGUGAGGAAAAAAUCGGAAUCUACUUUUUCGUGGGGGAUAACGUAGGGAAACUUACGCUAAUACCGCAUACGACCUACGGGUGAAAGCAGAGGAACUUCGGACCUUGCGCGGUUGAAUGAGCCGAUGUCGGAUUAGCUAGUUGGCGGGGUAAAGGCCCACCAAGGCGACGAUCCGUAGCUGGUCUGAGAGGAUGAUCAGCCACCCUGGAACUGCGACACGCUCCACAUUCCUGAGGCACGCACCAGUGUGAUUUUUUAGGCAAGGUUCGUAAGGCUUAAGUAACAACGCCGGGUUUGCGUAGAAGUACUCGGGAUUUUAAAGCCCUUUUGUUGGGGAAGAAAAGCAGCCGCUUAAUACCCUGAAUUAUUUACGGUACCCAAUGAAUAAGCACCGGCUAACUUCGUG